Molecule: ribosomal RNA, 346 nt
Filed under: uncultured Bacillus sp.
Lineage: Bacteria; Bacillati; Bacillota; Bacilli; Caryophanales; Bacillaceae
Description: bacterial SSU rRNA
Rfam family: Bacterial small subunit ribosomal RNA
Source: RNAcentral
CAGAGGUGCUGCAUGGCUGUCGUCAGCUCGUGCCGUGAGGUGUUGGGUUAAGUCCGCAACGAGCGCAACCCUACGUUAGUUGCUAACGCGUGAAGGCGAGCACUCUAGACGAACUGCCGUUGACAAAACGGAGGAAGGUGGGAUGACGCCAAAUCAUCAUGCCCUUACUGUUCUGGGCUACACACGUGCUACAAUGGCCGGUACAGACGGACGCAAAGCCGCGAGGUGGAGCAAAUCCUAAAAGACCGGUCUCAGUUCGGAUUGCAGGCUGCAAUUCGCCUGCAUGAAGUCGGAAUCGCUAGUAAUCGCAGGUCAGCAUACUGCGGUGAAUACGUUCCCGGGCCUU